AGGGUGUAAACGCUGCGGGCUUGGUGUUGGGGGUCCUUUGAGGGCGCCCAGUGCCGGAGAGAAGUUGUUAAGCCUGCUGCUUGGGGAGUACGUCCGCAAGGAUGAAACUUAAAGGAAUUGGCGGGGGAGCACCGCAACGGGAGGAGCGUGCGGUUCAAUUGGAUUCAACGCCGGACAACUCACCAGGAGCGACGGUUACAUGAAGGCCAGGCUGAUGACCUUGCCUGAUUUUCCGAGAGGUGGUGCAUGGCGUCAGUGACU
RNAcentral lists this ribosomal RNA (261 nucleotides) under uncultured archaeon. RNAcentral describes it as "partial 16S ribosomal RNA". It matches the Rfam family "Archaeal small subunit ribosomal RNA", at positions 748 to 1008 of the family's 1478-position model. The record is from RNAcentral.